This 205-nucleotide ribosomal RNA is filed under the name uncultured bacterium. Its description in RNAcentral is "partial 16S ribosomal RNA". It matches the Rfam family "Bacterial small subunit ribosomal RNA", at positions 1296 to 1500 of the family's 1533-position model. The record is from RNAcentral.
GAUCGCAGUCUGCAACUCGACUGCGUGAAGUCGGAAUCGCUAGUAAUCGCGGAUCAGCAUGCCGCGGUGAAUACGUUCCCGGGCCUUGUACACACCGCCCGUCACACCAUGAGAGUCGGGAACACCCGAAGUCCGUAGCCUAACCGCAAGGAGGGCGCGGCCGAAGGUGGGUUCGAUAAUUGGGGUGAAGUCGUAACAAGGUAGC